GACGAACGCUGGCGGCGUGCUUAACACAUGCAAGUCGAACGGAAAGGCCCUGCUUUUGUGGGGUGCUCGAGUGGCGAACGGGUGAGUAACACGUGAGUAACCUGCCCUUGACUUUGGGAUAACUUCAGGAAACUGGGGCUAAUACCGGAUAGGAGCUCCUGCUGCAUGGUGGGGGUUGGAAAGUUUCGGCGGUUGGGGAUGGACUCGCGGCUUAUGAGCUUGUUGGUGGGGUAGUGGCUUACCAAGGCUUUGACGGGUAGCCGGCCUGAGAGGGUGACCGGCCACAUUGGGACUGAGAUACGGCGCAGACUCCUACGGGAGGCAGCAGUGGGGAAUAUUGCACAAUGGGCGGAAGCCUGAUGCAGCAACGCCGCGUGCGGGAUGACGGCCUUCGGGUUGUAAACCGCUUUCGCCUGUGACGAAGCGUGAGUGACGGUAAUGGGUAAAGAAGCACCGGCUAACUACGUG
This 468-nucleotide ribosomal RNA is filed under the name uncultured bacterium. RNAcentral's name for it is "partial 16S ribosomal RNA". It matches the Rfam family "Bacterial small subunit ribosomal RNA", at positions 28 to 507 of the family's 1533-position model. The record is from RNAcentral.